Tinamus guttatus (white-throated tinamou) is the source of this 99-nucleotide non-coding RNA. NCBI's taxonomy places the organism in Eukaryota, Metazoa, Chordata, Aves, Tinamiformes, Tinamidae. The record is from RefSeq and is a predicted model, not a curated record.
GCCCUGUGGCCUCAAGCGGGAUCUGUUACAGUUCGGCCAUGCUGAGGAAAAGUCAUGGGGGGACAGGAGACGCCUCCCUUGCUGUUGUACUGAAAAAUG